AAACUCACGCCAUAGGGGAGAUACCAUGAUCACGAAGGUGGUUUUCCCAGGGCGAGGCUUAUCCAUUGCACUCCGGAUGUGCUGACCCCUGCGAUUUCCCCAAAUGUGGGAAACUCGACUGCAUAAUUUGUGGUAGUGGGGGACUGCGUUCGCGCUUUCCCCUG
Molecule: small nuclear RNA, 164 nt
Organism: Otolemur garnettii (small-eared galago)
Lineage: Eukaryota; Metazoa; Chordata; Mammalia; Primates; Galagidae
Gene: U1
Rfam family: U1 spliceosomal RNA
About the family: U1 is a small nuclear RNA (snRNA) component of the spliceosome (involved in pre-mRNA splicing). Its 5' end forms complementary base pairs with the 5' splice junction, thus defining the 5' donor site of an intron.
Source: Ensembl